CUCAUUUCCUUCAUUCUGCCUCUCUGUGUUUCCUCAUUCAAACCCAGCCUCUCCUCAAUUCCUUUGCCUCUCUUCUCUCUUUGGCUUUCCCCUUCCCAAUCGAACCUAGCCUCUCUUCAACCCUAGCCUCUCUCUCUCUCUCUCUCUCUCUCUCUCUCUCUCUCUCUCUCUCUUUAUAUUUUCCCCAAAAUUUUCUAUUUCCCUUUCUCUGUCUCUUUCACCUCUCAUCUCAAUUCUCAAGUCGAGUUCACAUCUCAUGCAGAAACAUAAUUUGCAAAUCCUUCCCCUUCAAAUUUCACACACACUACGAAUCGAUGGGUCUCAACUCAAGUCUUCAGUUGAGUUCACACAUUCUCACAGAAUCUGCAAAAAAAAUCCUUCUCAUUCACACAUAAUCUGCAAAUCAGUCGGCCUCAACUCUCUUCUCAUCCCCAGUUCCCUUUCAAUUCAGUGCUUGCAUAAUGCGAUUCCUUCCUCUCCACUUCGUUCCAGGUUCUGAAAGAUGCUGAGGUAGCCUUACUCCAUGGCAGAUCUGGAACUUCUAGUUAUUGAUUUUAAUUAGCUCUGUUUUUUUGUGUCAUUUUCGACUGAUUGUGGGAAUGGUUUUGAAUUCAACUAUAUUUGUUGAUGACUAUAUAAUGAAUGUGUAUCUAUUUGACUACAAAAUGAAUGUGUAUCUAAUGAAUAUUGUAGUCUGUUAGCCGAGUGAGUCUUUUAUUCACUAACAUCAAGCUAAGGGUUAUGUCAGCCGAUUUCAACAGGUUUUUGCCUUGGUCGCUGUCAAUAGCGGUAAUUCCAGUUGGUCAAAAUCUUUGGUCUGUUACAAAACUUUAAAGGAUAGAAAACUUCUCUAGUCUGUGCGCUUGAAUAUUGGAAUCAAAAUGAAGAUGAUAAUAUUUAUCUAUAACGAAUUUGAACCUUGAGCAACUAGCUAUGUAACCUUGUGCAAAGUAUUAUGGGACUGAACAACCUAGUAAUGCAUUUUUAAGUUUUUAAUGUUUGAAAGUUUUUUGGUCCUUGAACAUCACUGGAAAUAUGUGGUAGUUUCCCCUCUUGUUGGUUGUGUGAACUGCUUUAUGGAAAAUCUCAGAAAUUUUGUUUGUUUUUUAUCUUGAACACUUGUAAAUGUAUUUUUUUAUGAGGAGUACUUGUAGUUUCCCAUAUUAAUCUUCUGCUUCCAUUGUUGGUUGUUUUGGACGGUGGAGUUGUUAUAUAAGAAUCAUCUUUAAGCAGGUGGUGGAAAGGCCCAUAAAGCAAAUAUGAGUCCUCCCACAGAUGAUACAGGUUGCUCUGCUUGGGUUCAGUUUUAAGCGCAUUGAACAUGGAGGGGAAAUUGAUGCCAGUGCACCUUGGGACUACGCUGAGAUUCAGAUUUUUCCAUCCCAGAACAGUUCCCUACCGAGUGGAAGCACGAAAGACAUUAUCAAAGCUGAAAACUACUUGAUUAUAAGUAGAGGCUGGAGCAGGGGCUGAAGGUUGUUUGUGGUGGUUAAGGGUUGUCUGGUAUGCGAGGAACUCGAGAG
Molecule: long non-coding RNA, 1523 nt
Organism: Malus domestica (apple)
Lineage: Eukaryota; Viridiplantae; Streptophyta; Magnoliopsida; Rosales; Rosaceae
Source: RefSeq, a predicted model, not a curated record